This 82-nucleotide unclassified non-coding RNA is filed under the name Kaistella treverensis. RNAcentral describes it as "Chryseobacterium treverense Flavo-1 RNA". The record is from RNAcentral. Lineage: Bacteria; Pseudomonadati; Bacteroidota; Flavobacteriia; Flavobacteriales; Weeksellaceae.
CCAAAAUCCUGAUUGGUGUGGGACAUAAUUCUAUUUUGAGUUGACCUUAAAGAUAGAAAAUUUAGCCAAAGCAGGAAAAUUU